UAGGGAAUCUUCGGUAAUGGGGGCAACCCUGACCGAGCAACGCCGCGCGAGUGAAGAAGGUUUUCGGAUCGUAAAGCUCUGUUGUAAGAGAAGAACGUGUGUGAGAGUGGAAAGUUCACACAGUGACGGUAACUUACCAGAAAGGGACGGCUAACUACGUGCCAGCAGCCGCGGUAAUACGUAGGUCCCGAGCGUUGUCCGGAUUUAUUGGGCGUAAAGCGAGCGCAGGCGGUUUAAUAAGUCUGAAGUUAAAGGCAGUGGCUUAACCAUUGUUCGCUUUGGAAACUGUUAAACUUGAGUGCAGAAGGGGAGAGUGGAAUUCCAUGUGUAGCGGUGAAAUACGUAGAUAUAUGGAGGAACACCGGUGGAGAAAGCGGCUCUCUGGUCUGUAACUGACGCUGAGGAUCGAAAGCGUGGGGAGCAAACAGG
Molecule: ribosomal RNA, 429 nt
Filed under: bacterium
Lineage: Bacteria
Description: partial 16S ribosomal RNA
Rfam family: Bacterial small subunit ribosomal RNA
Source: RNAcentral